Molecule: non-coding RNA, 105 nt
Filed under: Massilibacterium senegalense
Lineage: Bacteria; Bacillati; Bacillota; Bacilli; Caryophanales; Bacillaceae
Description: SAM riboswitch (S box leader)
Rfam family: SAM riboswitch aptamer (S box leader)
About the family: The SAM riboswitch is found upstream of a number of genes which code for proteins involved in methionine or cysteine biosynthesis in Gram-positive bacteria.
Source: RNAcentral
UCUUAUCAAGAGCGGCGGAGGGACUGGCCCUAUGAAGCCCGGCAACCGGUUGUGUGAAACACGGUGCUAAAUCCUGCAGAACAAUCGAUGUUCUGGUAGAUGAGA